Mauremys mutica (yellowpond turtle) is the source of this 64-nucleotide small nucleolar RNA. RefSeq annotates it as small nucleolar RNA SNORD42. The transcript has a single exon. NCBI's taxonomy places the organism in Eukaryota, Metazoa, Chordata, Testudines, Geoemydidae. The record is from RefSeq and is a predicted model, not a curated record.
GUGCAAAUGAUGGAAACUACUUCAACUGAGCUCAGUGAUGUUUUCAAAGGAACCACUGAUGCAC